This 452-nucleotide ribosomal RNA is filed under the name uncultured bacterium. RNAcentral's name for it is "bacterial SSU rRNA". It matches the Rfam family "Bacterial small subunit ribosomal RNA", at positions 28 to 507 of the family's 1533-position model. The record is from RNAcentral.
GAUGAACGCUGGCGGCGUGCCUAACACAUGCAAGUCGAGCGAUUCUCUUCGGAGAAGAGCGGCGGACGGGUGAGUAACGCGUGGGUAACCUGCCCUGUACACACGGAUAACAUACCGAAAGGUAUGCUAAUACGAGAUAACAUAAGAAAAUCGCAUGUUUUUCUUAUCAAAGCUCCGGCGGUACAGGAUGGACCCGCGUCUGAUUAGCUAGUUGGUGAGGUAAUGGCUCACCAAGGCGACGAUCAGUAGCCGACCUGAGAGGGUGUACGGCCACACUGGGACUGAGACACGGCCCAGACUCCUACGGGGGGCAGCAGUAGGGAAUUUUCGGCAAUGGGCGAAAGCCUGACCGAGCGACGCCGCGUGAGGGACGAAGGCCUUCGGGUUGUAAACCUCUGUCUGGGGGAUGAGAACGGACGGUACCCCGGAGGAAGCCCCGGCUAACUAACGUG